RNAcentral lists this long non-coding RNA (504 nucleotides) under Androctonus crassicauda. The record is from RNAcentral. Lineage: Eukaryota; Metazoa; Arthropoda; Arachnida; Scorpiones; Buthidae.
AUUCACACUUUUUUGCAAAUUUUAAAAAUAAAUUAAAUUUUUAUAUAAAAAGUAUUCAUUUUUGAAUUGAUUAAAAGAAUUUGUUUCCAAGUGGUUAUAGCUGUUGCGAUGUCUAUCAACUGCAGUGGAAUUAGGACUGAGUGUGAUAUGAUUAGAAGUUGGUGUGACUGCUGUAUUUUGUAUGUAUGUAAUGCAAGUUUGCAAUCUCAAUACUAUUGAUAGCAUUUUUCCCCAAAUGGUUGAUGUUAAAAUUCUUCCAUUGUCUAAUCUGCAUGCCAGAAUGGAAAAGACAAAAAGCAUGAAAUGCUUCAGCUUUCUAUUUUGGAGGAUCUGUGUUCAAGUCUCAGGUUCCAUCCCUUUGAGAUAUUCAUGGGAUCCAGGUCUAGCCUGUCAAUCUCCAUCAUCCAUAGUUUGGCUGACCUCUGUAAGGGUGGGCAGCCUAUGGAAGGAUUUGUUUUGCCCUGCCACUUAAUACUCUGAGUAGGAAAGUAGUGUCGUCUGUUG